UAGUGACAACCCAGUAGAACCGAAAAAAACCUCAUGGCAUAGUUCAUAUGUGAUUCAGUCUCUCUAUCAUGAGUCCUGACUAGAUGGCAGGUCAUGAAUAAAUUGUCAAAUCUCAUCAUCAGUCAUAUGAUAAAUUUAAUUAACUCAAGUUUAAUUAUGAUCUUCAUGAAAACUCUAUUUCAUCAAUCACACUGCUAUGGCCACAGGCUCUCAAAUUUUGCCUCUCAAAUCUCAUAGGAUUACUCUCUAUCAAAAUCAAUAGAUUCUAUCU
This 271-nucleotide long non-coding RNA is filed under the name Elaeis guineensis (African oil palm). RNAcentral's name for it is "long non-coding RNA (EGUI_LNC050319)". Lineage: Eukaryota; Viridiplantae; Streptophyta; Magnoliopsida; Arecales; Arecaceae. The record is from RNAcentral.